AGGGGCAGAGCAUUUGACUGCAGAUCAAGAGGUCCCCGGUUCAAAUCCGGGUGCCCCCU
Molecule: non-coding RNA, 59 nt
Organism: Erinaceus europaeus (western European hedgehog)
Lineage: Eukaryota; Metazoa; Chordata; Mammalia; Eulipotyphla; Erinaceidae
Source: Rfam